RNAcentral lists this ribosomal RNA (484 nucleotides) under uncultured bacterium. RNAcentral describes it as "partial 16S ribosomal RNA". It matches the Rfam family "Bacterial small subunit ribosomal RNA", at positions 30 to 507 of the family's 1533-position model. The record is from RNAcentral.
AUUGAACGCUGGCGGCAUGCCUAACACAUGCAAGUCGAGCGGAUGAAGGGAGCUUGCUCCUGGAUUCAGCGGCGGACGGGUGAGUAAUGCCUAGGAAUCUGCCUGGUAGUGGGGGAUAACGUCCGGAAACGGGCGCUAAUACCGCAUACGUCCUGAGGGAGAAAUUGGGGGAUCUUCGGACCUCACGCUAUCAGAUUAGCCUAGGUCGGAUUAGCUAGUUGGGGGGGUAAAGGCCUACCAAGGCGACGAUCCGUAACUGGUCUGAGAGGAUGGUCAGUUACCCUGGCACUGAGGCAGGGUACCGACUCCUAGGGGGAGAAGCAGUGGGGAAUAUUGGGGGAUGGGGGAAAGGCUGAUCCAGGCAUGCCGCGUGUGUGAAGAAGGUCUUCGGAUUGUAAAGCACUUUAAGUUGGGAGGAAGGGCAGUAAGUUAAUACCUUGCUGUUUUGACGUUACCAACAGAAUAAGCACCGGCUAACUUCGUG